This 1280-nucleotide ribosomal RNA is filed under the name Orthosomella operophterae. RNAcentral describes it as "Microsporidia small subunit ribosomal RNA". It matches the Rfam family "Microsporidia small subunit ribosomal RNA". The record is from Rfam by way of RNAcentral. Lineage: Eukaryota; Fungi; Microsporidia; Unikaryonidae.
CACCAGGUUGAUUCUGCCUGACGUAGAUGCUAGCCUCCGAGGCUAAGCCAUGCAUGCCCGUGACGCAAGGAACGGCGAACGGCCCAGUAAUACUGCGAUGAUCUGCUCCGCGCGGACGAUAACUACGGGAAACUGUGGCUAAGAGCGCGGAUUGAGACGCAGCCCUAUCAGCAAGUUGGUAGUGUAACGGACUACCAAGGCGGCGACGGGUGACGGGAAAUCAGGGUUUGAUUCCGGAGAGGGAGCCUGAGAGAUGGCUCCCACGUCCAAGGACGGCAGCAGGCGCGAAACUUGCCCACUCUCUUGCGAGGAGGCAGUUACGAGGCGUGACGGAAGGGCGCACUGUAAAGACGUGCGCGAACGCGAUUGGAGGGCAAGUUCGGUGCCAGCAGCCGCGGUAAUACCGACUCCAAGAGUGUCUAUGGUGGAUGCUGCAGUUAAAAAGUCCGUAGUCGGCACUGCGACGAAAGCGCGCUGCUCGAUGGCGCAGGCGUUGCAGGGGCUUGCGGAGCGGGCGGGGGGCACGGUAUAGGCAGGCGAGAGAUGAAAUGGCCAAGACCCUGCCUGGACCGACGGUGGCGAAGGCGGUGCCCUCGCACGCAUCUGUGGAUCAAGGACGAAGGCAGGAGGAUCGAAAGUGAUUAGAGACCGCUGUAGUUCCGGCAGUAAACGAUGCCGACACCGCGCGGCGGGGCUGCGCGGGGGGGAAACCUUAGUGUUCGGGCUCUGGGGAUAGUAUGCUCGCAAGUGUGAAAAUUAAACGAAAUUGACGGAGCUACACCACAAGGAGUGGAUUGUGCGGCUUAAUUUGACUCAACGCGGGGCACCUUACCAGGGCCACGCGCGCCUGAGACCGCAUGCGCGAGGCGCGCAGGAGUGGUGCAUGGUCGUUGCAAAUUGGUGGGGCGACUUUUGGCUUAAAUGGCCGGAACGAGUGAGAUCUCCGAGACGGGUGCGCGCAGCACAGGAGGGUGGAGGCGAUAACAGAUCAGUGAUGCCCUUAGAUGCCCUGGGCUGCACGCGCAAUACAAUACCCGCGCGCUGCACAGAACGGUCGCGGGGGUGUGGGACCGGCGCCUGUAAGGGCGCCGCGAACGAGGAAUUCCUAGUAACGGCGGCUCAUCAAGGCAUUGUGAAUGUGUCCCUGUAGCUUGUACACACCGCCCGUCACUAUCUCAGAUGGCCGUGUCGGUGAAGGGAGCAAUCUCUGUGCCUCCGCGGCUAGAUAAGAUGUAAGUCGUAACAAGGUUGCGGUCGGUGAACCAGCAGCAGGAUCAUAA